This is a long non-coding RNA of Corticium candelabrum, 437 nucleotides long. RefSeq lists it as uncharacterized. Lineage: Eukaryota; Metazoa; Porifera; Homoscleromorpha; Homosclerophorida; Plakinidae. The transcript has 5 exons. The record is from RefSeq and is a predicted model, not a curated record.
CAAAGAGAUGCAAUGGAUUUAUACUCUGUAAUAUUAUUGAUUGUUGUUUUAGUAACUUAGGAAUGCUUUGAUUGCUAACACAGGCGACUACAAAGCAACCGUUUGACUACGAUAGAAGAGUCCUUUUUUGAAACAGUUACUGUCUUUGGAGAUGUAGAUUUGUCAUUCAAUAAUUUGAAGUUCCUACCUCGGAGCUUGUCUAAACAGCUAUUCCUGACGAGAUUAUUUCUCAUCGGGAAUCACUUGACCACAAUCGAAAGCUACUUUUUCUCUGGCCUGCAGUCUCUUCGAGAAUUAAAUAUUAUGAGAAACAGAAUAACAACAGUAAAAGCAGGAUCAUUCAGAGACCUAACCGUCUUAAACAAAUUAUAUUUGAUUGAGAGCAAUUUGACGUCCUUGCCAUUUGACAUAUUUGCUCCACUGGGCAAUUGCACUGU